Molecule: unclassified non-coding RNA, 772 nt
Filed under: Hevea brasiliensis (rubber tree)
Lineage: Eukaryota; Viridiplantae; Streptophyta; Magnoliopsida; Malpighiales; Euphorbiaceae
Source: RNAcentral
GUGUUGAACAACCAUUGGAUCGCUUGAUGAGAGCGGUUAAAAACAUGUCUGACAAAGCAUUGCAGUCGUCAGUUCAAGACAUCUAUUCAGUUGUCAGUAUGAAUGAUAGAAUAGCAGGAUCUGCUCCAGGAAAUGGGUCAAGAGCAGCUGUUGGCGAAGAUUUGGUUGCCAUGACCAAAUGUCGUCUCCAAGCGAGAAACUACUUUACGCAGGAUGGACCUACAGGAACAAAGAAAAUGAAGCGAUAUACAACUUCCAACGUUGUGUCGUCAAGCAGCAGUUUGAAUGAUAGUUUCUGGCAGGUGAAUUAUUCUGAAACACCUGAGUUAGAGUCAACAGCAACAUCCAAUGCCAAAAGACCUAAAAUAGAGGUUAAUAUAGCACUGGUUGAAGAGAUACAGAAAAUCAAUCGGCAACUUAUCGACACUGUUGUAGAAAUUAGUGACGAAGGUGUUGAUCCAAGUGCUCUUGCUGCUGCAACGGAGGGUGGUGAAGGCACUACUGUUAAGUGUUCUUUCACUGCCGUUGCAUUGAGUCCAAACUUAAAAGCACUGUAUGCUUCAGCGCAGAUGUCUCCAAUUCAGCCUUUGAGAUUGCUCGUUCCAGUUAAUUAUCCAAACUGCUGUCCGAUUUUGUUGGACAAGUUUCCAGUUGAAGUUAGUAAAGAGUAUGAAGAUCUAUCCACAAAGGCCAAGUCAAGGUUUAGUGUCUCCCUGCGAAGUCUUUCACAGCCAAUGUCUCUAAAAGACGUAGUCAAGACUUGGGAUGUUUG